GCUGGCGGCAGGCCUAACACAUGCAAGUCGAACGGAGUUAUAUUGUAGCUUGCUAUGGUAUAACUUAGUGGCAGACGGGUGAGUAAUGUAUAGGAAUCUACCUAGUAGUACGGAAUAAUUGUUGGAAACGGCAACUAAUACCGUAUACGCCCUACGGGGGAAAAAUUUAUUGCUAUUAGAUGAGCCUAUAUUAGAUUAGCUAGUUGGUGGAGUAAUAGCCUACCAAGGCAAUGAUCUAUAGCUGAUCUGAGAGGAUGAUCAGCCACACUGGAACUGAGAUACGGUCCAGACUCCUACGGGAGGCAGCAGUGGGGAAUAUUGGACAAUGGGCGAAAGCCUGAUCCAGCCAUGCCGCAUGAGUGAAGAAGGCCUUUGGGUUGUAAAGCUCUUUUAGUGAGGAAGAUAAUGACGGUACUCACAGAAGAAGUCCUGGCUAACUCCGUGCCAGCAGCCGCGGUAAUACGGAGAGGGCUAGCGUUAUUCGGAAUUAUUGGGCGUAAAGGGCGCGUAGGCGGAUUAGUAAGUUAAAAGUGAAAUCCCAAGGCUCAACCUUGGAAUUGCUUUUAAAACUGCUAAUCUAGAGAUUGAAAGAGGAUAGAGGAAUUCCUAGUGUAGAGGUGAAAUUCGUAAAUAUUAGGAGGAACACCAGUGGCGAAGGCGUCUAUCUGGUUCAAAUCUGACGCUGAAGCGCGAAGGCGUGGGGAGCAAACAGGAUUAGAUACCCUGGUAGUCCACGCUGUAAACGAUGAAUGUUAAAUAUGGGAAGUUUUACUUUCUGUAUUACAGCUAA
This 790-nucleotide ribosomal RNA is filed under the name uncultured bacterium. Its description in RNAcentral is "bacterial SSU rRNA". It matches the Rfam family "Bacterial small subunit ribosomal RNA", at positions 35 to 855 of the family's 1533-position model. The record is from RNAcentral.